RNAcentral lists this long non-coding RNA (2256 nucleotides) under Pan troglodytes (chimpanzee). RNAcentral describes it as "lincRNA". The record is from RNAcentral. Lineage: Eukaryota; Metazoa; Chordata; Mammalia; Primates; Hominidae.
ACCGCCUCCAAGCUACAGCGGCGCCGCCGAAGCCAAGAGCGGCGCCUUCCGCAGAGGGACUGCGGCUUUCUGCGCAGCGCCCCCUACCUGACAGGCGGGAAAGCGCCGCGCAACUCAGACCACUGGAGGUGAGUUGUACCUGGAGUUUCUGUAACGUCCUCUCCCCUUUUUUUUUUUUUUAAAGCCAGAGCCUCUGUCGCCCAGGCUGCAGUACAGUGGCGUAAUCUCAGCUCACUGCAACCUCUGCCUCCUGGGAUCAAGCGAUUCUCCUCCCUCAGCCUCCCGAGUAGCUGGGAUUACAGGUUCAAGAGAUUCUUCUGCCUCAGCCUCCCAAGUAGCUGGCACUGCAGACACGCACCACCACACCCAGGCUACACAGAACAACAUCAUUAGCAACAUUGUUUCAGCAAGGAAAUAAUCCUUAUUGGCAAAGGGAAACCAAGGAAAGAAAACUAUUGUUUUCUUCGGCUACAUGCUGUCUGCAAAGCACCCCAUGGAUUCAAUUUCUCAUCAAUUCAGAAUGGAAUACUAACGUGCUGCCUAGAGAUACAGAAGUGGGAUGAACGCAGGGCCUUACUCAGCAUUCAGAACAAAACUGAUGGUGCUAGCAUAUAUAAGACUGAAACACCAAAGUCCUCCGUGGAAGUUAAUGAAUUUCUGGUUAUGAGUUGGAUUCUUCAGCGGAGUAUUUGAGCCAUGCCUUGAGGCACAUACUUCAAGUUGCUGCAUCCAGUUUUAAACUCCAGAUUGAGCUUUACAUAUUAAAUGUGCACAUUUGUUUUCACAUUUUUGAGCUUUGCCAGUGGCACCCUCUCUAAUUAAUCAUCCCGCAGGCUUAGAAAACUUCUGCCCAAUCCUUUCUGAUUUGUUAAAAGAAAGAGAGAAGGUUUUAGUCUGAAAAAGGCCUUAUCUGAUAGACAUCACAUUAUACGGAUUUUUACAUUUAAGUACAUUUUCUUUUUAAAUCCGGUGGCUUUCCCAAACUAGAAAGAUGGAGUGUUUGCAUACAUCCACCAACCACCAACAUCAGCAGAAAGAAAGCUUGAUACAGUAAAGGAAAGAAAUGGCAAUUUAACAGUUCUUUUAUUUUCCAUUCAGAUCACAUACACAUUAACCAAAUGAGGCCUCACAGCAUGGAAUCUGAUAUCAUAGCAAUGUUUUCAGGAAGCAAUAAUUGAAUACUUCUCAUUAAAAAGGUUCAUAAAAGAAUCCUGUUAAAACCAAUACGAAUAAUAAACCUUGAAAAUGCUGCUUUAAAUUCCAGGAGGAUGGCGAAGAUCUGCGUCAGUAACAGUCUUCCUGUUCAUAGAGUGAUUUUGAAAAUCUCGUGGGCUGAAUUUUUCCAAGCCAAGCAGGCAUCUCACUAUCCAGUGAAAGACCCAGGGACUAUUUUAAAUGCAUUCAAUCCAAGCCUGUGCCUUUCACAGUCAGUUUUCCCCAAGAAUUUAUCCCUAAUCCUGACAGGAUACCCAACCAAAAGGCUAAUUAUUUUUAGUCACUUAAUUAAUAGAUAAUUCUUACAAAGAGCCCAACACCUGAACCCCCCAAGUCCUCUUUGCAUGGGCAAAUCCAGCUGGUUUGAUGCACUAAUUUCACUAAAUGAAAAUUUGGACAAAUUGUAUGUUACUGCAAAUAAUGGUAAAUGUAUCCAAUUCAAAAAAUAGUAAUAAAAAGGUUAUUUUUUUGUUCCCUUUUUAAUCACAGAGGCAGCUGUGGUAGACCCCAAAUGCACAGGGCAUAUGGCUCACCUCACCACCCCAGAUGGUGCUACUGGCCCAGCCUUCCCAGCGUCCACCCUGGCAGUCUUUCCUCAUUCCCUUGGCCCUCACCCUGUCUCCUCAGCCUUCCAGCUGCACUGCUACUGUAGGCUGCUCUUUCUCGACAAUCUCCUCUUAUUUUCUGUGAUGUAUCAGGAUGUUUCUUCUUCUCAGGGGUUUUCCAAGCUUCUUCCACACUCAGGUGCUCAGACCUUUUUAUGGUCUGGCUUCUGAAGGAGAUCAAAAUUCAUAUGGACAGGCAUUUGUGUAUUAGCCAAGAGUUGCUAAUGCAUUUCUUGAUCAUAAGUCUCAGAGAAAUGGGAUGAAAGAUCUUAGAUUUUUAUACACUCUGCUUCAAUGAUUUCUCAGCUUUUCUGAUCUGAAAAGAAUAAAGGACACCUUUUAGCUAAGCACUUUCUGUUUUAUUUCUUAUAAUGCCAUGUAGUGGCUGUUAUUGCCAACACAGCAGUCAUUUAAUAAACCCUGAAUGUCUGUAGCA